RNAcentral lists this ribosomal RNA (253 nucleotides) under uncultured bacterium. RNAcentral describes it as "partial 16S ribosomal RNA". It matches the Rfam family "Bacterial small subunit ribosomal RNA", at positions 524 to 776 of the family's 1533-position model. The record is from RNAcentral.
UACGAAGGGGGCGAGCGUUAUUCGGAAUCACUGGGCGUAAAGCGUGCGUAGGCGGCGAUGAAAGUUAGAAGUGAAAUCCCAGAGCUCAACUCUGGAACUGCCUUUGAAACUGGUGACCUUGAGUACGGGAGAGGUGAGUGGAAUUCCCAGUGUAGAGGUGAAAUGCGUAGAUAUUGGGAAGAACACCGGUGGCGAAGGCGGCUCACUGGCCCGUAACUGACGCUCAGGCGCGAUAGCGUGGGGAUCAAACAGG